UCUCUUAGUCAGGAAAGACAGUUAAUCAGU
Molecule: non-coding RNA, 30 nt
Filed under: Mus musculus (house mouse)
Lineage: Eukaryota; Metazoa; Chordata; Mammalia; Rodentia; Muridae
Source: RNAcentral